This 465-nucleotide ribosomal RNA is filed under the name uncultured bacterium. Its description in RNAcentral is "bacterial SSU rRNA". It matches the Rfam family "Bacterial small subunit ribosomal RNA", at positions 338 to 795 of the family's 1533-position model. The record is from RNAcentral.
CCUACGGGUUGCAGCAGUGGGGAAUAUUGCACAAUGGGCGCAAGCCUGAUGCAGCCAUGCCGCGUGUAUGAAGAAGGCCUUCGGGUUGUAAAGUACUUUCAGCGAGGAGGAAGGCAUUAAGGUUAAUAACCUUAGUGAUUGACGCUACUCGCAGAAGAAGCACCGGCUAACUCCGUGCCAGCAGCCGCGGUAAUACGGAGGGUGCAAGCGUUAAUCGGAAUUACUGGGCGUAAAGCGCACGCAGGCGGUCUGUUAAGUCAGAUGUGAAAUCCCCGGGCUCAACCUGGGAACUGCAUUUGAAACUGGCAGGCUUGAGUCUUGUAGAGGGGGGUAGAAUUCCAGGUGUAGCGGUGAAAUGCGUAGAGAUCUGGAGGAAUACCGGUGGCGAAGGCGGCCCCCUGGACAAAGACUGACGCUCAGGUGCGAAAGCGUGGGGAGCAAACAGGAUUAGAUACCCGGGUAGUC